GCAAGGACAGAUGGCAGGGCGUCUCUCCCGGGCCGUGUCGCAUGCACUGUCAGUUUCGCUCGGAUACUCGUACACGAGUUUUAUCGUGCUCUGUCUACGCUCGCCGCGCUCCUCGUUCAACGUACCAAACUCACUAAGGAGAGAAGAUCCAUCCGCGCACACGCUUCAGACGCAUACUCCUCUUUUUCCAAUUCGUUCGACAACACGGUCCAUGAAUCAGAAGAAUUAGAUCAUCUACUUUACGUUAAUCGUUCGCUUCGUUUAAUAACGAAAUACGAGUAGAACGUGAGAUUACACCUAGACUUCUCUGUUUUUUCCACCGCCCGUUGCUACGUACAGAAGAAUGAAAAUCAGUUGAGAUCGUUCGAUUUGCAUAGUAGAAUAUAUAUUUUAAGAACACGGUGUACAAGUCGUCGAAUGAAUAUCCCUUUCUUUUAGUUGUUUUUGUUCGUCAAUUUCAAAGAACGCGAAGAAGUAAAAAAGAGAGGGUUUGUUCAUCUAUGUACCGUUGGUCAAUUAAGUAGUUCACGGAUAAAGACACGUUCCAGCGGGAAGAGAGAAGCACUAGUGUCACGUAAGUGGGAGUGAGACGGACUAUUAUGGGGAAGAAGUAUCGGGGGCGAUUUCUAUGCAUGCCAACGCGUAGAUCUCGAAUAGCGGAGACAUAAUGGCGACAUUCAGUGAAAAACUAAAGGAAAAUCGGAUGCUUAUCGAUUCGUAUCUCUUUUCACGAGUUUGAUCUUACACUAGUCUUUGUAUCGCGAAAUGCUGUAUCGAACGCUCGACUUUGGAUUAUUGCACCAUACCAGGGAGAAGAUUAAAGCAUCGCGGAUGGGAUGGAUCGGUUCGAUGGAAAUAAUUGAUAAGUGAAAGUCUGGUCUCGAGGAAGAGUGAUCGCGGAGAACGCGAAAACUCCUUUAUCUCCCACUAUCUCGUCUCGUAUAAACCUCGUAUUACUAUUCCAUUCCUUUUCCUUUUUCCCAUACAUCUCGCCGGUUGAAACAAAGAUUGUGGUGGAUUUUUUUGAAAAACGCGACGGUUCUAUCAAGCGACAUCGUGGAUCGAAUAUGAGAGAGAGAAACAAAAAAUGAAGAGUUUAUUUUUUACUCUGGGUCUAUUGUUUUCGGUGCAAAGACUUGCCCGGAGCACAUCCGAUUCCGAGAUGCACGAGAAUCGGGCACUGGAACCACUCGACCGUGGACCUUACUUUGACAUCUCAGCGUCACGGAAUGUCACCGCGUUGGUUGGCAAAACGGCCACCCUCACCUGUCGAGUACGGAAUCUGGGCGAUCGUACGGUUUCCUGGGUAAGGCACAGGGAUAUCCAUCUUUUAACUGUUGGCGUUGAAACGUAUACAUCCGACCAAAGAUUCGUGGCAUCACACUUUCCCAGAACCGAAGACUGGACGCUCCAAGUGAAAUAUCCUCAGCGUCGUGAUUCCGGGAUCUACGAGUGUCAAGUGUCAACGACACCACCGAUCGGCCAUUCGAUGCAUCUCUCCGUCGUCGAACCUGUCACGUCGAUCGUUGGAGAACCAGAGAUGUUCAUAAACAAGGACAGCACCAUGAAUCUCACUUGCGUGGUACGUCACAGCCCCGAACCACCGACCGCCAUUUAUUGGACCCAUGACCACGAGGUGAUCAACUACGAUAGUCCUAGGGGAGGCGUAUCGGUGAUCACCGAGAAGGGAGAAGUUACAACGUCGUAUCUUUUGGUGCAGCGUGCCCAGCGUGCAGAUAGCGGCCAGUAUACCUGCCAUCCCAGUAACGCUAAUACAAAGACAAUCCUCGUGCACGUACUUAAUGGGGAACAUCCAGCAGCGAUGCAACACGGUGGCCAACUGAGGCUGGCAAAUCUGCCAUUCGUAAUGAUCUCAACGACUCUGCUGGCCUUCCUGAAUCAUCGUUAUUGAACCCAGCUACCGUCGUGGGAUCACGAAAUACUCAUUUCAGAUAUUCAUCGAUUAAAUUAAUACGUCACUAGUAGUCGCUUUCUGAAAAUUGGAGAACUUCUGGCCACGCAGAAAAAUGGCUGCUACGAGAAGGAAGUGACAACCAUCUUGAAAGUAUACGAACCACGUUAAAAAGAUAUCGAUGAGAAAUGGAAACCGUAAAGUGAUAUUAUUGGAUCAAGAACACGAGGAGAAAGAUCUGUGAAGGAAGAAUAGAAAAAGGUGAAGGUGGAAUCGGACCAUAUUGCGGCACAACGGAUGCUGAAUGUAUUAUAAGAAAAGUAGUCUGUUGUAACGAAAUAAUAUAAGACUUAAUCUAUUAUAGGGUGUUUCAGAAUUGAAUAAUAAAAUGAUGCUUUUUUAUUUUAUAAAUGAACGUUACGAAAGAAGUUGAUAAAAUAAGUUAUAAGAUAAACUUAUAAAAUAUGAGAGGAAACUUUUUUUAGAACGACCACCAUUUUAGGUAAUGGAAGUUAGAUCAAGUUUCAAUUGAUUUAGAUCACUAUAUCCAUAUCUGAAAUUUGACGUGAAAGAAUAUUGAUUUAAAAUAUGGAUACUAUAAUUUAUGUACAGUCUUUCCUCUUUUUUAUCUCAAUUUCGCUUUCAUUUGAAAAGAUACUAUAGUAUAUGUAUUUGGACCAUUAAUAACUAUUAGUAAUAAAAUAAAUUUCUAUUCCUUCAAUAUAAUUUUUCAAUCUUGAGACAUCCUAUAUUUAAAAAAGUAAGAUAAAAAAUGAAUAAAAAGUAAAUUGUCGAUGGUAAUAAUAGUUCGUUGAAGACGAACCGUUUACUGCUGAACAAACUACGAUUUUAUUUGCUGUGUUACAGUUAUGAGACAAUACAUUGUACUUGCCAAAGGAAAUGUAAGAAUUACUGUUGAAAUGCAAUUAAGAUUUUUAACCGUUUCGUCAUAAACGAUUUAUUAUACAGAGUGGGUUAAAUAUAAAGUUGUAAGUUGAUUUUUCAUAAAUCACUAAACAUAU
This is an RNA transcript of Bombus impatiens (common eastern bumble bee), 2934 nucleotides long. It is a transcript of the gene named lachesin, with no coding region annotated. The transcript has 7 exons. Lineage: Eukaryota; Metazoa; Arthropoda; Insecta; Hymenoptera; Apidae. The record is from RefSeq and is a predicted model, not a curated record.